GACGAACGCUGGCGGCGUGCUUAACACAUGCAAGUCGAGCGGUAAGGCCCUUUCGGGGGUACACGAGCGGCGAACGGGUGAGUAACACGUGGGUGACCUGCCCUUAGCUCUGGGAUAAGCCUGGGAAACUGGGUCUAAUACCGGAUAUGACUCCAUAACGCAUGUUGUGGGGUGGAAAGCCUUGUGCGGCUAGGGAUGGGCCCGCGGCCUAUCAGCUUGUUGGUGGGGUGAUGGCCACCAAGGCGACGACGGUAGCCGGCCUGAGAGGGCGACCGGCCACACUGGGACUGAGACACGGCCCAGACUCCUACGGGAGGC
Molecule: ribosomal RNA, 318 nt
Filed under: uncultured bacterium
Lineage: Bacteria
Description: bacterial SSU rRNA
Rfam family: Bacterial small subunit ribosomal RNA
Source: RNAcentral